RNAcentral lists this ribosomal RNA (1366 nucleotides) under Vibrio scophthalmi. RNAcentral describes it as "bacterial SSU rRNA". It matches the Rfam family "Bacterial small subunit ribosomal RNA", at positions 75 to 1437 of the family's 1533-position model. The record is from RNAcentral. Lineage: Bacteria; Pseudomonadati; Pseudomonadota; Gammaproteobacteria; Vibrionales; Vibrionaceae.
CUUGCUUUCUUUGCUGACGAGCGGCGGACGGGUGAGUAAUGCCUGGGAAUAUGCCUUGAUGUGGGGGAUAACCAUUGGAAACGAUGGCUAAUACCGCAUAAUGCCUACGGGCCAAAGAGGGGGAUCUUCGGACCUCUCGCGUCAAGAUUAGCCCAGGUGGGAUUAGCUAGUUGGUGAGGUAAUGGCUCACCAAGGCGACGAUCCCUAGCUGGUCUGAGAGGAUGAUCAGCCACACUGGAACUGAGACACGGUCCAGACUCCUACGGGAGGCAGCAGUGGGGAAUAUUGCACAAUGGGCGCAAGCCUGAUGCAGCCAUGCCGCGUGUGUGAAGAAGGCCUUCGGGUUGUAAAGCACUUUCAGUCGUGAGGAAGGUAGUUGCGUUAAUAGCGUAAUUAUUUGACGUUAGCGACAGAAGAAGCACCGGCUAACUCCGUGCCAGCAGCCGCGGUAAUACGGAGGGUGCGAGCGUUAAUCGGAAUUACUGGGCGUAAAGCGCAUGCAGGUGGUUUGUUAAGUCAGAUGUGAAAGCCCGGGGCUCAACCUCGGAAUUGCAUUUGAAACUGGCAGACUAGAGUACUGUAGAGGGGGGUAGAAUUUCAGGUGUAGCGGUGAAAUGCGUAGAGAUCUGAAGGAAUACCGGUGGCGAAGGCGGCCCCCUGGACAGAUACUGACACUCAGAUGCGAAAGCGUGGGGAGCAAACAGGAUUAGAUACCCUGGUAGUCCACGCCGUAAACGAUGUCUACUUGGAGGUUGUGGCCUUGAGCCGUGGCUUUCGGAGCUAACGCGUUAAGUAGACCGCCUGGGGAGUACGGUCGCAAGAUUAAAACUCAAAUGAAUUGACGGGGGCCCGCACAAGCGGUGGAGCAUGUGGUUUAAUUCGAUGCAACGCGAAGAACCUUACCUACUCUUGACAUCCAGAGAAGCCAGCGGAGACGCAGGUGUGCCUUCGGGAACUCUGAGACAGGUGCUGCAUGGCUGUCGUCAGCUCGUGUUGUGAAAUGUUGGGUUAAGUCCCGCAACGAGCGCAACCCUUAUCCUUGUUUGCCAGCGAGUAAUGUCGGGAACUCCAGGGAGACUGCCGGUGAUAAACCGGAGGAAGGUGGGGACGACGUCAAGUCAUCAUGGCCCUUACGAGUAGGGCUACACACGUGCUACAAUGGCGCAUACAGAGGGCUGCCAACCAGCGAUGGUGAGCGAAUCCCAAAAAGUGCGUCGUAGUCCGGAUUGGAGUCUGCAACUCGACUCCAUGAAGUCGGAAUCGCUAGUAAUCGUGGAUCAGAAUGCCACGGUGAAUACGUUCCCGGGCCUUGUACACACCGCCCGUCACACCAUGGGAGUGGGCUGCAAAAGAAGUGGGUAGUUUA